Long non-coding RNA from Oreochromis aureus, 289 nucleotides. RefSeq lists it as uncharacterized. The transcript has 3 exons. Lineage: Eukaryota; Metazoa; Chordata; Actinopteri; Cichliformes; Cichlidae. The record is from RefSeq and is a predicted model, not a curated record.
ACCAAAUGCAUCACUGAAACUCGACCAUAGUAAAGGAUAUGUGGAAACAGUUAUUGGGUGAAGUUGGAAUAAUUGUACAACAAACAAAUGAGUUAAUGAAUUGGUCGCACAACUUUGGAUAGUCUCCAUUCCACCAAGGAUCAAAAGCUUGCAGACAUGUUAACGACUCAUGUUUUCCAAAUCCCAGCCUGUGCCUCCGUUUCUCAUCCUCCCAACAGAUGGCCUGUGUUUCCCUCUUUUAUUUGUAAUCUUCUUCCAAAUUACAAAAGUACACCACAGAGGCGAUUUA